UGCCAGCAGCCGCGGUAAGACGAACUGCGCAAACGUUAUUCGGAAUCACUGGGCUUAAAGAGUGCGUAGGCGGCUUGACAAGUGGGGUGUGAAAUCCCUCGGCUUAACCGAGGAAUUGCGCUCCAAACUGUUUAGCUUGAGGAAGACAGAGGUGAGCGGAACUGAUGGUGGAGCGGUGAAAUGCAUUGAUAUCAUCAGGAACACCGGUGGCGAAGGCGGCUCACUGGGUCUUUUCUGACGCUGAGGCACGAAAGCUAGGGGAGCGAACGGGAUUAGAUA
This 279-nucleotide ribosomal RNA is filed under the name uncultured bacterium. RNAcentral's name for it is "partial 16S ribosomal RNA". It matches the Rfam family "Bacterial small subunit ribosomal RNA", at positions 506 to 784 of the family's 1533-position model. The record is from RNAcentral.